Molecule: ribosomal RNA, 285 nt
Filed under: uncultured soil bacterium
Lineage: Bacteria
Description: partial 16S ribosomal RNA
Rfam family: Bacterial small subunit ribosomal RNA
Source: RNAcentral
AGAACGAACGCUGGCGGCAUGCCUAACACAUGCAAGUCGAACGAGACCUUCGGGUCUAGUGGCGCACGGGUGCGUAACGCGUGGGAAUCUGCCCUUGGGUUCGGAAUAACAGUUGGAAACGACUGCUAAUACCGGAUGAUGACGUAAGUCCAAAGAUUUAUCGCCCAGGGAUGAGCCCGCGUAGGAUUAGCUAGUUGGUGAGGUAAAGGCUCACCAAGGCGACGAUCCUUAGCUGGUCUGAGAGGAUGAUCAGCCACACUGGGACUGAGACACGGCCCAGUACCU